UGAUAUGGCUCUGGUGCGGGCUGUUAUUUGAAACGAAUCACCACGCGUGCAGCGGACGGGGAAUGCCGUGAGAACCGGCAGCAGUCGCGCUGCGGUAUCGGGUUACGAGCCCUCAUCGUUGACGCGGUCGCCUCCGGGCGGCCGGCGCUGGCGAACAAAGCACAGCGGCACGACGCAUUCCGUCGCGUUGCCAAGGCGAGGGGCGAGGCUGCGGGGAGGUCGCGCGAAGGCGGCACGCUGCGAAAACCCGGAGUCCGAAUACCCGGCUGCGCGCAGAAAACAAA
RNAcentral lists this non-coding RNA (284 nucleotides) under Opitutaceae bacterium. Lineage: Bacteria; Pseudomonadati; Verrucomicrobiota; Opitutia; Opitutales; Opitutaceae. The record is from RNAcentral.